RNAcentral lists this ribosomal RNA (2985 nucleotides) under Triticum aestivum (bread wheat). RNAcentral's name for it is "partial small subunit ribosomal RNA". Lineage: Eukaryota; Viridiplantae; Streptophyta; Magnoliopsida; Poales; Poaceae. The record is from RNAcentral.
GACGAUGAUAACCCGGAUGAGGAUUUUGGUGACGAUGAGAUGAAUCCAACAAAAUCAAGGAAAUUUGUUAGCGCGAGAGAGUACUAUUGCUUCAAGUUGUGUGUCUGGAAGAAGCUUUUUAACAUCAUCUUGUUUGGGGGGGGUCUUUUUCAACAGUGGGCUAUUGACAUGUACAUCAAGAUUGAGACAAUGAGGCUUGACUGGUAUUCAAAGCCAGCAAAUCAAAAGGUUAUACGCGCUGACAUGUACCAGGGUCUUGUUGACACCGUCGUUGCUGGCGAGUCACGCGGUGAUCGGAUUGGCAAGAGAAUCGUGCUUCCACGUACAUUUCCUGGUGGUGACCGUGACAUGCAGCGCAGGUUUCUGGAUGCGAUGGCAAUAGUUCAACGUUGGGGUAAACCGGAUUAUUUUGUCACGAUGACAUGCAAUCCCUACUCGGAGGAGAUAACGCAGGAAUUGUUGCCUGGACAGCUGCCACAAGACCGCCCAGACCUUGUGGCAAGAGUAUACAGAGCUAAGCAACGAAAUAUGAUGGACUUACUAACUAAGGGUAAGCAUUUCGGAGAAGUCGCAGCUUAUGUACAUGUCACAGAGUUUCAGAAGCGAGGUCUCCCGCAUGAGCAUAUACUUUUAAUCAUGAAAGCAAAAAGCAAGUUAAGGACCCCAGAUGACUAUGAUCGAGUGAUAUCUGCAGAGAUACCCGACAAAAAGAAAUAUCUUGUCCUCCAUGAUCUGGUAGUCAAACACAUGUUGCACGGCCCAUGUGGUGCACUCAAGAAAAGUUGCCCUUGCAUGAUAGAUGGACAGUGUCGAUUUCAUUACCCGCGAGAUUUCUGUGAUGCUACAUUACAAGGGAAAGACUCAUAUCCCAUCUAUAGAAGGAGGGACGACGGGGUUCGAGUAAGGAUCAAGGGAGCAGAUUUGGACAAUAGAUGGGUGGUCCCUUACAACCCCUUUCUGCUUAUGAAAUACAACUGUCACAUAAAUGUUGAAGCAUGCUCGAGCAUUAAGGCAGUCAAGUACUUAUUCAAGUACAUCUACAAAGGGCAUGAUAAGGCAUCGUUUGCAUGUGAGCAUGAUAUUAUCAAUGAUGAGGGAAUCAUUAAUGAAAUUUGUCAAUACAGGGAUGCACGCUAUAUAUCUCCUCCAGAAGCUAUUUACAGGAUUUUUGGGUUUAAAAUGUUUGGUGUUAGUCCAUUUGUGUUACAGCUGCAACUUCAUUUGCCAAACAUACACACAAUCGCAUUUAAGGGUUAUGAAAAUCUGGAAGAUGUUGUCGCUCGCCCAACUUCUUCCAAAUCCAUGCUUACCGAGUACUUUGAGAUGAACAAGAAGUAUCCAGCGGCACGAAAAUGGUUGUACAGAGAGUUCCCAGAACAUUAUAGGUGGAUUGCCGCUAAUAAAAAGUGGCAAACGAGAAGAAGUAAGAGAUCACAGAUUGGAAGACUGGUGUAUGCACACCCUGCUGAAGGAGAGAGGUACUACUUGCGGGUGCUCCUAAGUCAUGUCCGAGGUGCCACUUCAUUUGAUGAUUUAAAAACAGUAAAUGGCAAGCCAUGCACUUCCUUCAGAGAGGCAUGUGAGCACUUAGGCCUCAUUGAGCAUGACAGGACACUAGAUGAUUGCAUGACGGAGGCAGCAACAUUUCAAAUGCCUUCUGCUCUUAGACGGUUGUUUGCGACUAUACUGGUAUUCUGUGAGGCAACACAAAUCCGUCAAUUGUGGGACAAACAUCUACCAUCGAUGGCUGAAGAUUACCGCCGCACUGAGUCGAACGAGGCAACACUUGAGCAGAUGGCCCUUAGAGAUGUCAGGGAUCUGGUGCAAUCCAUGGGUAAGGAUAUUAAAAUGUAUGGACUUCCAGAUCUGGUUGACACAGAUGGUUCUUCUGACGCCGAGUAUAGAGAGGUAAUAGAGGAGAGACAAGUUAGAGUUAACCAAGAGCAUCUAGAUCUAUUUAGCUGUUUGAACAGUGAACACCUAGAUGGUUUCAACGACAUAAUGGAUCAUGUGACGAACCAAAAAAGCCAGAUAUUUUUUGUUGAUGGUCCAGGAGGCACUGGGAAGACGUACCUGUACAAGGCAUUGCUUGCGAAGGUCCGUUCGAUGGGCCUAAUAGUGAUCGCAACUGCUACAUCAGGUAUAGCGGCGUCAAUAAUGCCUGGAGGCCGGACUGCCCACUCCAGGUUCAAAAUUCCAAUCAAGCUCACUGACAACAGCAUGUGUGGUUUCACAAAGCAGAGUGGUAUGGCAGAGUUGCUUAAACAGGCGUCCUUGAUAAUUUGGGAUGAAGUUGCUAUGACAAAGCGUCAAGCAGUUGAGACGCUUGACAGAUCGCUACAAGAUAUUAUGGAAUAUCCUUUUCCGUUUGGUGGAAAGGUUGUUGUCUUUGGUGGGGAUUUUAGGCAGGUCCUCCCUGUUGUUACACGAGGGACAAGAGCACGGAUCACGGAUGCUACACUAUUGAGAUCCUAUCUGUGGGAUAAGAUCCGCAAGAUACGCCUCACGCGCAAUAUGCAGGCACAUGCCGACCCUUGGUUCUCCGAAUACCUCCUAAGGAUUGGCAAUGGAACGGAAGAAAGUAUUGGUGACGACUAUGUGCGUCUGCCUGAAGACAUUGUGAUUGGUUAUACUGAGGACGAAGAACCUAUUAACAAGCUCAUCGAAGAUGUCUUCCCAUCCCUGCACACCAAUGCUAGGUCGAGGGAGUACAUGAGCAAACGUGCAAUUCUCUCGACCAAAAACGAGCAUGUGGAUGACCUGAAUGACAAGAUGAUCUCUAGGUUUCCGGGAGAAGAAAAGGUAUACCAUAGCUUUGACUCUAUCGAGGAUGACUUCCAGAAUAAUUACACGAUUGAUUUUCUGAACUCCAUCACACCAAAUGGCUUGCCCCCCCAUGUCUUGAGAGUAAAAAUCAACUGCACGGUCAUUUUGCUACAGAACCUCGACCUCAUAAUGGCUUGUGUAAUGGAACACGGCUUAUGA